AUUGAACGCUGGCGGCAGGCCUAACACAUGCAAGUCGAGCGGUAGCACAGAGAGCUUGCUCUCGGGUGACGAGCGGCGGACGGGUGAGUAAUGUCUGGGAAACUGCCUGAUGGAGGGGGAUAACUACUGGAAACGGUAGCUAAUACCGCAUAACGUCGCAAGACCAAAGUGGGGGACCUUCGGGCCUCAUGCCAUCAGAUGUGCCCAGAUGGGAUUAGCUGGUAGGUGGGGUAACGGCUCACCUAGGCGACGAUCCCUAGCUGGUCUGAGAGGAUGACCAGCCACACUGGAACUGAGACACGGUCCAGACUCCUACGGGAGGCAGCAGUGGGGAAUAUUGCACAAUGGGCGCAAGCCUGAUGCAGCCAUGCCGCGUGUGUGAAGAAGGCCUUCGGGUUGUAAAGCACUUUCAGCGGGGAGGAAGGCGGUGAGGUUAAUAACCUCACCGAUUGACGUUACCCGCAGAAGAAGCACCGGCUAACUCCGUGCCAGCAGCCGCGGUAAUACGGAGGGUGCAAGCGUUAAUCGGAAUUACUGGGCGUAAAGCGCACGCAGGCGGUCUGUCAAGUCGGAUGUGAAAUCCCCGGGCUCAACCUGGGAACUGCAUUCGAAACUGGCAGGCUAGAGUCUUGUAGAGGGGGGUAGAAUUCCAGGUGUAGCGGUGAAAUGCGUAGAGAUCUGGAGGAAUACCGGUGGCGUAGGCGGCCCCCUGGACAAAGACUGACGCUCAGGUGCGAAAGCGUGGGGAGCAAACAGGAUUAGAUACCCUGGUAGUCCACGCCGUAAACGAUGUCGACUUGGAGGUUGUGCCCUUGAGGCGUGGCUUCCGGAGCUAACGCGUUAAGUCGACCGCCUGGGGAGUACGGCCGCAAGGUUAAAACUCAAAUGAAUUGACGGGGGCCCGCACAAGCGGUGGAGCAUGUGGUUUAAUUCGAUGCAACGCGAAGAACCUUACCUACUCUUGACAUCCAGAGAACUUAGCAGAGAUGCUUUGGUGCCUUCGGGAACUCUGAGACAGGUGCUGCAUGGCUGUCGUCAGCUCGUGUUGUGAAAUGUUGGGUUAAGUCCCGCAACGAGCGCAACCCUUAUCCUUUGUUGCCAGCGGUCCGGCCGGGAACUCAAAGGAGACUGCCAGUGAUAAACUGGAGGAAGGUGGGGAUGACGUCAAGUCAUCAUGGCCCUUACGAGUAGGGCUACACACGUGCUACAAUGGCGCAUACAAAGAGAAGCGACCUCGCGAGAGCAAGCGGACCUCAUAAAGUGCGUCGUAGUCCGGAUUGGAGUCUGCAACUCGACUCCAUGAAGUCGGAAUCGCUAGUAAUCGUAGAUCAGAAUGCUACGGUGAAUACGUUCCCGGGCCUUGUACACACCGCCCGUCACACCAUGGGAGUGGGUUGCAAAAGAAGUAGGUAGCUUAACCUUCGGGAGGGCGCUUACCACUUUGUGAUUCAUGACUGGGGUG
This 1462-nucleotide ribosomal RNA is filed under the name uncultured bacterium. RNAcentral's name for it is "bacterial SSU rRNA". It matches the Rfam family "Bacterial small subunit ribosomal RNA". The record is from RNAcentral.